RNAcentral lists this ribosomal RNA (480 nucleotides) under uncultured bacterium. Its description in RNAcentral is "bacterial SSU rRNA". It matches the Rfam family "Bacterial small subunit ribosomal RNA", at positions 1003 to 1482 of the family's 1533-position model. The record is from RNAcentral.
GAGAUAGAUUAGUGCCUUCGGGAGCGCAGUGACAGGUGCUGCAUGGCUGUCGUCAGCUCGUGUUGUGAAAUGUUGGGUUAAGUCCCGUAACGAGCGCAACCCUUGUCCUUAGUUGCUAGCAGGUUAAGCUGAGAACUCUAAGGAGACUGCCGGUGACAAACCGGAGGAAGGUGGGGACGACGUCAAGUCAUCAUGGCCCUUACGACUUGGGCUACACACGUGCUACAAUGGCCAGCACAAAGGGUUGCCAAGCCGCGAGGUGGAGCUAAUCUCAUAAAACUGGUCGUAGUCCGGAUUGGAGUCUGCAACUCGACUCCAUGAAGUCGGAAUCGCUAGUAAUCGUGAAUCAGAAUGUCACGGUGAAUACGUUCCCGGGCCUUGUACACACCGCCCGUCACACCAUGGGAGUGGGUUGCUCCAGAAGUGGCUAGUCUAACCUUCGGGGGGACGGUCACCACGGAGUGAUUCAUGACUGGGGUG